RNAcentral lists this ribosomal RNA (254 nucleotides) under uncultured bacterium. Its description in RNAcentral is "partial 16S ribosomal RNA". It matches the Rfam family "Bacterial small subunit ribosomal RNA", at positions 524 to 776 of the family's 1533-position model. The record is from RNAcentral.
UACGUAGGGGGCGAGCGUUGUCCGGAUUCAUUGGGCGUAAAGAGCUCGUAGGCGGCUUGGUUAGUUGGGUGUGAAACCUCCAGGCUUAACCUGGAGACGCCACUCAAUACUGCCAUGGCUAGAGUCCGGUAGGGGACCACGGAAUUCCUGGUGUAGCGGUGAAAUGCGCAGAUAUCAGGAAGAACACCCGUGGCUAAGGCGGCUCUCUAGUACGGUACUGACGCUGAGACGCGAAAGCGUGGGGAGCGAACAGG